This 403-nucleotide ribosomal RNA is filed under the name Verrucomicrobiota bacterium. RNAcentral describes it as "Verrucomicrobia bacterium partial 16S ribosomal RNA". It matches the Rfam family "Bacterial small subunit ribosomal RNA", at positions 355 to 776 of the family's 1533-position model. Lineage: Bacteria; Pseudomonadati; Verrucomicrobiota. The record is from RNAcentral.
UGGGGAAUAUUGCACAAUGGGCGCAAGCCUGAUGCAGCAACGCCGCGUGAACGAUGAAGGUCUUCGGAUCGUAAAGUUCUGUUGCAGGGGAAGAUAAUGACGGUACCCUGUGAGGAAGCCCCGGCUAACUACGUGCCAGCAGCCGCGGUAAUACGUAGGGGGCUAGCGUUAUCCGGAUUUACUGGGCGUAAAGGGUGCGUAGGUGGUCUUUCAAGUCGGUGGUUAAAGGCUACGGCUCAACCGUAGUUAGCCUCCGAAACUGGAAGACUUGAGUGCAGGAGAGGAAAGUAGAAUUCCCAGUGUAGCGGUGAAAUGCGUAGAUAUUGGGAGGAACACCAGUAGCGAAGGCGGCUUUCUGGACUGCAACUGACACUGAGGCACGAAAGCGUGGGUAGCAAACAGG